CAUAGUUUAAUGGUUGAUAACAUGCGCCUUUCCAGCGCAAGAUCGGGGUUCGAUUCCCUG
Molecule: transfer RNA, 60 nt
Filed under: Diaphanoeca grandis
Lineage: Eukaryota; Choanoflagellata; Acanthoecida; Stephanoecidae
Rfam family: tRNA
About the family: Transfer RNA (tRNA) molecules are approximately 80 nucleotides in length. Their secondary structure includes four short double-helical elements and three loops (D, anti-codon, and T loops).
Source: RNAcentral